AAAAAAAAGAAUCAAAUGAAAAACUAGAGAUGACCGCCCGAUGAGGGUCAUAUGGCAACAAGUGAAUGAUUUUGGCGGUGAGAGUUGUCUGUCCUUGAAGGGCUCGAACGUGUCCCUGAGUCGGGACUCUCACUAACUACAAAUGACCUUAUCAUUUUGCCACACACCCACUUUUUUCCCGCGGAAAAAAAGUGAAGACAUCU
Molecule: non-coding RNA, 203 nt
Organism: Caenorhabditis elegans
Lineage: Eukaryota; Metazoa; Nematoda; Chromadorea; Rhabditida; Rhabditidae
Source: Ensembl